GGAGAGGUGGCCGAGUCGGCUGAAGGCAGCCGCCUGCUAAGCGGUUGUAGGGGCACAAACUCCUACCGUGGGUUCGAAUCCCACCCUCUCCG
Molecule: transfer RNA, 92 nt
Filed under: bacterium
Lineage: Bacteria
Description: tRNA-Ser
Rfam family: tRNA
About the family: Transfer RNA (tRNA) molecules are approximately 80 nucleotides in length. Their secondary structure includes four short double-helical elements and three loops (D, anti-codon, and T loops).
Source: RNAcentral